UGGGGAAUAUUGGACAAUGGGCGCAAGCCUGAUCCAGCCAUGCCGCGUGAGUGAUGAAGGCCCUAGGGUUGUAAAGCUCUUUCACCGGUGAAGAUAAUGACGGUAACCGGAGAAGAAGCCCCGGCUAACUUCGUGCCAGCAGCCGCGGUAAUACGAAGGGGGCUAGCGUUGUUCGGAUUUACUGGGCGUAAAGCGCACGUAGGCGGACUAUUAAGUCAGGGGUGAAAUCCCGGGGCUCAACCCCGGAACUGCCUUUGAUACUGGAAGUCUUGAGUAUGGUAGAGGUGAGUGGAAUUCCGAGUGUAGAGGUGAAAUUCGUAGAUAUUCGGAGGAACACCAGUGGCGAAGUCGGCUCACUGGACCAUUACUGACGCUGAGGUGCGAAAGCGUGGGGAGCAAACAGG
RNAcentral lists this ribosomal RNA (404 nucleotides) under Actinomycetes bacterium. RNAcentral's name for it is "Actinobacteria bacterium partial 16S ribosomal RNA". It matches the Rfam family "Bacterial small subunit ribosomal RNA", at positions 355 to 776 of the family's 1533-position model. Lineage: Bacteria; Bacillati; Actinomycetota; Actinomycetes. The record is from RNAcentral.